RNAcentral lists this ribosomal RNA (468 nucleotides) under uncultured bacterium. Its description in RNAcentral is "partial 16S ribosomal RNA". It matches the Rfam family "Bacterial small subunit ribosomal RNA", at positions 28 to 507 of the family's 1533-position model. The record is from RNAcentral.
GACGAACGCUGGCGGCGUGCUUAACACAUGCAAGUCGAACGAAAAGGCCAUGCGUAUGUGGUGUGCUCGAGUGGCGAACGGGUGAGUAACACGUGGGUAACCUGCCCUUGACUUUGGGAUAACUACAGGAAACUGGGGCUAGUACACGAUAGGAGCUCCUGCUGCAGGGUAGGGCAUGGCAAGAUUCGGCGGUGUGGGCUGGACUCGCGGCAUAUCAGCUUGCGGGUGGGGUAGUGGCUGACCAAGGCAUGGACGGGUAGGCGGCCUGACAGGGUGACCGGCCACAUUGCGUCUGAGCUACGGCACAGCCUCCUCCGGGACGCGGCAGUGCGGAGUGUUGCACUGUGGGCGGAAGCCUAAUGCAGCAACGCCGCGUGCGGGAUGUCGACCUUCGGGUCGGAAUCCGCUUCCGCCUGUGACGAAGCGUGAGUGACGGUACUGGGUAAAGAAGCCCCGGCUAACUACGUG